Molecule: ribosomal RNA, 250 nt
Filed under: uncultured bacterium
Lineage: Bacteria
Description: partial 16S ribosomal RNA
Rfam family: Bacterial small subunit ribosomal RNA
Source: RNAcentral
AGACGUAGGGUGCAAGCGUUGUCCGGAUUUACUGGGCGUAAAGAGCUCGUAGGCGGUCUGUUAAGUGAGAAGUGAAAUCCCCAGCGCUCAACGCGGGAACUGCUUUUCAUACUGGCAGACUUGAGGAAUGCAGAGGUUAGUAGAAUUCCUGGUGUACCGGUGACAUGGGUUGAUAUCAGGAGGAAUACCAAUGGCGAAGGCAGCUAACUGGGCAUUAUCUGACGCUGAGGAGACGAAAGCGUGGGUAGAC